Molecule: ribosomal RNA, 1401 nt
Filed under: uncultured bacterium
Lineage: Bacteria
Description: bacterial SSU rRNA
Rfam family: Bacterial small subunit ribosomal RNA
Source: RNAcentral
AGAGUUUGAUCCUGGCUCAGAUUGAACGCUGGCGGCAGGCCUAACACAUGCAAGUCGAACGGUAACAGGAAGCAGCUUGCUGCUUCGCUGACGAGUGGCGGACGGGUGAGUAAUGUCUGGGAAACUGCCUGAUGGAGGGGGAUAACUACUGGAAACGGUAGCUAAUACCGCAUAACGUCGCAAGACCAAAGAGGGGGACCUUCGGGCCUCUUGCCAUCGGAUGUGCCCAGAUGGGAUUAGCUUGUUGGUGGGGUAACGGCUCACCAAGGCGACGAUCCCUAGCUGGUCUGAGAGGAUGACCAGCCACACUGGAACUGAGACACGGUCCAGACUCCUACGGGAGGCAGCAGUGGGGAAUAUUGCACAAUGGGCGCAAGCCUGAUGCAGCCAUGCCGCGUGUAUGAAGAAGGCCUUCGGGUUGUAAAGUACUUUCAGCGGGGAGGAAGGGAGUAAAGUUAAUACCUUUGCUCAUUGACGUUACCCGCAGAAGAAGCACCGGCUAACUCCGUGCCAGCAGCCGCGGUAAUACGGAGGGUGCAAGCGUUAAUCGGAAUUACUGGGCGUAAAGCGCACGCAGGCGGUUUGUUAAGUCAGAUGUGAAAUCCCCGGGCUCAACCUGGGAACUGCAUCUGAUACUGGCAAGCUUGAGUCUCGUAGAGGGGGGUAGAAUUCCAGGUGUAGCGGUGAAAUGCGUAGAGAUCUGGAGGAAUACCGGUGGCGAAGGCGGCCCCCUGGACGAAGACUGACGCUCAGGUGCGAAAGCGUGGGGAGCAAACGGGAUUAGAUACCCUGGUAGUCCACGCCGUAAACGAUGUCGACUUGGAGGUUGUGCCCUUGAGGCGUGGCUUCCGGAGCUAACGCGUUAAGUCGACCGCCUGGGGAGUACGGCCGCAAGGUUAAAACUCAAAUGAAUUGACGGGGGCCCGCACAAGCGGUGGAGCAUGUGGUUUAAUUCGAUGCAACGCGAAGAACCUUACCUGGUCUUGACAUCCACAGAACUUUCCAGAGAUGGAUUGGUGCCUUCGGGAACUGUGAGACAGGUGCUGCAUGGCUGUCGUCAGCUCGUGUUGUGAAAUGUUGGGUUAAGUCCCGCAACGAGCGCAACCCUUAUCCUUUGUUGCCAGCGGUCCGGCCGGGAACUCAAAGGAGACUGCCAGUGAUAAACUGGAGGAAGGUGGGGAUGACGUCAAGUCAUCAUGGCCCUUACGACCAGGGCUACACACGUGCUACAAUGGCGCAUACAAAGAGAAGCGACCUCGCGAGAGCAAGCGGACCUCAUAAAGUGCGUCGUAGUCCGGAUUGGAGUCUGCAACUCGACUCCAUGAAGUCGGAAUCGCUAGUAAUCGUGGAUCAGAAUGCCACGGUGAAUACGUUCCCGGGCCUUGCACACACCGCCCGUCA